GAAUGCUGGAGCUCAUCAACUUCAACGCCAUCCCCAUGGUCCCCCUGGACGAUGACCUGGCGACUUCAUCCAAGCAGAGGUGCAUCCAGCAUGAAGAGCUGAAGAUGAGAGUGAAACAGAACCCUCCCCUGUGCCUCAUGGGCUCCAUGGACCAGCUGAAUAGAAAGAUCUCCCAGAUAGACCUGAAGACCAGACUGUACACGACCAGCAUUUACAGCAACGUCCUGAGAAAUCUAACAAAGCCAAGAAGAAGUCACCCAAGUUUUUCUCGCUGACUCCAUCGACUUCAAGUGUUCCCUGUGCCAGGUUGAAAAAGGCCUUGUGUGCACCAGAAGAAAUGAACAGAUUCUUUUCAUCUCCGUUUUCCAAGGCUAUCGUGCUGGACUGUUUCUGGUGGAUCUUUCAUGAAAGAUACGAUGUAAGGAAGGAAGGCGGAGCAGAUGAAGUCUGGCUCCAGGAGAGAGGAGGGAAGUGAUGAAAACUCAUCGCUGCCCUGAUGUCUCUUUGGUGCCUCUGGGCUCAGGGCUGUAGCCAUGACCGUCCUUAAGACUUCCCAACAGUUUGGCAGACAGACUCGGAGGUUGGGCUUGUCCUCCCAUGACGCCUCGUCUUAGGUGAAG
This 620-nucleotide long non-coding RNA is filed under the name Vombatus ursinus (common wombat). RNAcentral's name for it is "lncRNA (ENSVURG00010003175.1)". Lineage: Eukaryota; Metazoa; Chordata; Mammalia; Diprotodontia; Vombatidae. The record is from RNAcentral.